GACGAACGCUGGCGGCGUGCUUAACACAUGCAAGUCGAACGCUGAAGCACCAGCUUGCUGGUGUGGAUGAGUGGCGAACGGGUGAGUAAUACGUGAGUAACCUGCCCUUGACUCUGGGAUAAGCCCGGGAAACUGGGUCUAAUACUGGAUGCUACAUGUCACCGCAUGGUGGUGUGUGGAAAGGGUUUACUGGUCUUGGAUGGGCUCACGGCCUAUCAGCUUGUUGGUGAGGUAAUGGCUCACCAAGGCGACGACGGGUAGCCGGCCUGAGAGGGUGACCGGCCACACUGGGACUGAGACACGGCCCAGACUCCUACGGGAGGCAGCAGUGGGGAAUAUUGCACAAUGGGCGAAAGCCGGAUGCAGCGACGCCGCGUGAGGGAUGACGGCCUUCGGGUUGUAAACCUCUUUCAGCAGGGAAGAAGCCACAAGUGACGGUACCUGCAGAAGAAGCGCCGGCUAACUACGUG
RNAcentral lists this ribosomal RNA (470 nucleotides) under uncultured bacterium. RNAcentral describes it as "partial 16S ribosomal RNA". It matches the Rfam family "Bacterial small subunit ribosomal RNA", at positions 28 to 507 of the family's 1533-position model. The record is from RNAcentral.